GCGCAGCAGGCGCGAAACCUUCGCAAUGCGGGAAACCGCGACGAGGGACUCCCAGUGCCUACGCUCAGCGUAGGCUGUUCCCGAGCCUAGAAAGCUCGGGGAGUAAGGGCUGGGUAAGACGGGUGCCAGCCGCCGCGGUAAUACCCGCAGCCCGAGUGGUGGCCACUAUUAUUGGGCCUAAAGCGUCCGUAGCCGGCCCGGUAAAUGCCUGGGUAAAUCGUGAGGCCUAACCUCACGAAUUCCGGGUAGACUGCCGGGCUAGGGACCGGAGGAGGGAGAGGGUACUCCAGGGGUAGGGGUGAAAUCCUGUAAUCCCUGGAGGACCACCGGUGGCGAAGGCGCUCUCCUAGGACGGGUCCGACGGUGAGGGACGAAAGCCAGGGGAGCGAACCGGAUUAGAUACCCGUGUAGU
Molecule: ribosomal RNA, 412 nt
Filed under: uncultured microorganism
Description: bacterial SSU rRNA
Rfam family: Archaeal small subunit ribosomal RNA
Source: RNAcentral